RNAcentral lists this ribosomal RNA (444 nucleotides) under uncultured bacterium. RNAcentral's name for it is "partial 16S ribosomal RNA". It matches the Rfam family "Bacterial small subunit ribosomal RNA", at positions 338 to 795 of the family's 1533-position model. The record is from RNAcentral.
CCUACGGGUGGUAGCAGUGGGGAAUAUUGGGCAAUGGAGGAAACUCUGACCCAGCAAUGCCGCGUGAAUGAAGAAGGUCUUCGGAUUGUAAAGUUCUUUAGUCAGGGAAGAAGUCACUGACUGUACCUGAAUAAUAAGCUCCGGCUAACUACGUGCCAGCAGCCGCGGUACUCCGUAGGGAGCAAGCGUUUUUCGGAAUGACUGGGCGUAAAGGGUGCGUCGGCGGUUGUACAAGUUAGAGGUGAAAUACCCAGGGCUUAACUCGGGUGCUGCUUCUAAAACUGGAUGACUUGAGUUCAGUAGAGGGUAGUGGAAUUCCAAGUGUAGCGGUGGAAUGCGUAGAGAUUAGGAGGAACACCGGAGGCGAAGGCAGCUAACUGGAAUGCAACUGACGCUGAGGCACGAAAGUGUGGGGAGCAAACAGGAUUAGAUACCCGAGUAGUC